Molecule: non-coding RNA, 1000 nt
Organism: Pelobates cultripes (western spadefoot toad)
Lineage: Eukaryota; Metazoa; Chordata; Amphibia; Anura; Pelobatidae
Source: the annotation of a GenBank genome assembly
CUAUAGUCACCAGAACAACUACAGCUUAUUGAAUUUGUUCUGGUGAGUAGAAUCAUUACCUUCAGGCUUUUUGCUGUAAACCCUUUCUUUUCAGAGAAAAUGCAGCAUUUACACUACAGCCUAGUGAUAACUUCACUGGCCACUCCUCAGAUGGCUGUUAGAGAUCUUUCCUGGGUCAUGUCUGCCUAAAAUGCAUCCAAACAUUCAGUAUGUCCUACCGCUGCAUGCAGACACUGAACUUUCCUCAUAGAGAUGCAUUGAUUCAUGAGGAGAUGCUGAUUGGCCAUGGUGGCAUUUGGCUCCGCCCCCAGCUUGCCUCCUUGACUGAGAUUAUCAGAAUAGACAAUCUCGGCCAAUUCAAUGCUUUCCUAUGGAAAAGCAUUGUGAAUGGCUCAGAACAUCACUUCUGAUGAUGUCAGCCAAGGAGGCAGAUCAGGGGCAGAGCCAGCACCAGCAGACUGGAAUAAAGGUAAGAUUUUACUAUAUUUAGAGUGGGACAAGGGGGAAGCCAGAUAGUGGUUUUAACACUAUGGGGUCAGAAAUAAAUAUUUGUGUUCCUGACCCUAUAGUGUUCCCUUGAGGUAUUGUUUCCACUUGGGGAUUAAUUUGUCUAGACUUUUCUUAGGGAGGAGAUUUUGCUAUAUGUCUAAGUGACGGCCACUUGAGGUUUUCUUAGGCAGUAAUGUAAAUACUGCAAUUUUUUCGGAAUUAAAUCAAUACGAUAAAGUCUGAAACUACUACACAACUAUAAGUAUAAAUUUGGAAGAUUUUACUGCCUGGUUGCUAGAAUCAAUCCAGAUUGUUCACUAGAACCGUGAAAACCAUGUUGUAGAAUUCACAAGGAAACUGCACAUUUUAGGUGUAAAGAUUGACCUGGAAAGAUAGCUUUUUGAGAAUUUACAAAAACUUGCAUUUCCCUAGUAAUUUCUUUGCCAAUUCUCUGACUUAAGUAAUAUAGCUUCCUAGCAAUGGAUACUCAUUAGAAUAAAGAAAAUCAAUC